GCUAUCCUUGCUUUGGCAGCAUAAACUAAAAUUAAAACAAUACAGAGAAGAUUAGCAUGGCCCCUGUGCAAGGAUGACAUGCAAAUUUGUGAAGUGUUCCAUAUUUUU
Molecule: small nuclear RNA, 108 nt
Filed under: Cebus imitator (Panamanian white-faced capuchin)
Lineage: Eukaryota; Metazoa; Chordata; Mammalia; Primates; Cebidae
Source: RNAcentral